AGGAGCCGUGUGAGGUGAAAGUCUCAUGCACGGUUUUGAAGACGAGUAUUGGUGGCGACACUGAUGCUUAGUUUAAU
Beggiatoa sp. PS is the source of this 77-nucleotide non-coding RNA. Lineage: Bacteria; Pseudomonadati; Pseudomonadota; Gammaproteobacteria; Thiotrichales; Thiotrichaceae. The record is from Rfam.